GGUGCCAUAGCUCAGUUGGUAGAGCAAAGGACUGAAAAUCCUUGCGUCGCUGGUUCGAUUCCAGCUGGCACCA
Molecule: transfer RNA, 73 nt
Filed under: Parapedobacter koreensis
Lineage: Bacteria; Pseudomonadati; Bacteroidota; Sphingobacteriia; Sphingobacteriales; Sphingobacteriaceae
Description: tRNA_Phe_GAA
Rfam family: tRNA
About the family: Transfer RNA (tRNA) molecules are approximately 80 nucleotides in length. Their secondary structure includes four short double-helical elements and three loops (D, anti-codon, and T loops).
Source: RNAcentral